RNAcentral lists this ribosomal RNA (253 nucleotides) under uncultured bacterium. RNAcentral's name for it is "partial 16S ribosomal RNA". It matches the Rfam family "Bacterial small subunit ribosomal RNA", at positions 524 to 776 of the family's 1533-position model. The record is from RNAcentral.
UACGUAGGGUGCAAGCGUUAAUCGGAAUUACUGGGCGUAAAGCGUGCGCAGGCGGCUUUGCAAGACAGAUGUGAAAUCCCCGGGCUUAACCUGGGAACUGCAUUUGUGACUGCAUGGCUAGAGUGCGGCAGAGGGGGAUGGAAUUCCGCGUGUAGCAGUGAAAUGCGUAGAUAUGCGGAGGAACACCGAUGGCGAAGGCAAUCCCCUGGGCCUGCACUGACGCUCAUGCACGAAAGCUAGGGGAGCGAAUGGG